This 329-nucleotide long non-coding RNA is filed under the name Vigna radiata. RNAcentral's name for it is "long non-coding RNA (VRAD_LNC004807)". Lineage: Eukaryota; Viridiplantae; Streptophyta; Magnoliopsida; Fabales; Fabaceae. The record is from RNAcentral.
GGAGACAGAGACAGAGAAAAGAAAAAAAAAUGGCGGGAGAGAAAAUGAAUGCAAGGGUCUUACAUUUUACUUUGUUGAAAAAAUAAUAUUGUUAUCCAUAUCUACUUGAAUCAUCUAAAAACACCAUUCUAAUGACUUAAAUUAUACUAAAAUUCUCAAAAUCUUAAACAUGUCCAUAACUAAUAAAUCAUAUAAUAUGAUAGAUGUUAGACUAAUCAAUAUAUCAUGUGGAAACUCCAAUAUUUGCAAAUAUAAUAUGAUUUUUUUCUCGUAUUCUUUCCAUUCUUUUUUCUUUCUGUCAUUGUACUAUUUUCUUCUUUGUUUCCUUC